Long non-coding RNA from Oncorhynchus tshawytscha (Chinook salmon), 605 nucleotides. RefSeq lists it as uncharacterized. NCBI's taxonomy places the organism in Eukaryota, Metazoa, Chordata, Actinopteri, Salmoniformes, Salmonidae. The record is from RefSeq and is a predicted model, not a curated record. The transcript has 2 exons.
AUCCUUUCACUAAAGAUAUAAAGCCACUUUUUAUUGACAGAUGCCUCAUGUCAAUGUUCUGGAUUUUGAUGAAAGGAAAUUCCAUAUAGGCUACUGGACAGGACUUUGCUUUGGCAUCUUCUGUUUGGGUGUCUCAGGUCAGGACUUUGCUUUGGCAUCUUCUGUUUGGGUGUCUCAGGUCAGGACUUUGCUUUGGCAUCUUCUGUUUGGGUGUCUCAGGUCAGGUCUGAGCCAUAAUCAGAAUGUGUCGCUGUCUCUAUUUCCAGCCCUGCCAUUUCUACAUGUCCUGAUCUAGUGUUUCACCCCUGACCUCCUCACACCAUCUCACUGUCCAUGUCUGCUUUUAGCUCCCACCUCUACUUCACUGUGUUAUAAUGGAUCUUAUGCUUGUUAUGUCACCUCUGUAAAACAGUUAUCAAACAUACUGACCUUUCUGACUCUAUCCCAUAGCCCUACUUCACUGUGUUAUAAUGGACCUUAUGCUUGUUAUGUCACCUCUGUAACCAGUUAACAAACAUAAUGACCUUUCUGACUCUAUCCCAUAGCCCUACUUCACUGUGUUAUAAUGGACCUUAUGCUUGUUAUGUCACCUCUGUAACCAGUUA